Macrosteles quadrilineatus (aster leafhopper) is the source of this 1006-nucleotide long non-coding RNA. RefSeq lists it as uncharacterized. The transcript has 2 exons. Lineage: Eukaryota; Metazoa; Arthropoda; Insecta; Hemiptera; Cicadellidae. The record is from RefSeq and is a predicted model, not a curated record.
UUGUAGUGGAGCUAGACAGUGUUAGUUGUUGUCAGGACCUCGUUGAGGAGCAAGGAUCUGGAAGGAUACGCUCAUUGCACUGCCAGAGAUGCUGAAGCCGCUGGUGCUGGUAGGAGCGACGCUGACGGUCUGCUGCGCCAUCAUCGUCCACGACCCUCCGGAGCAGCUCUACGACUGGUACUACGCUGGUCCCGAGUUCGGGUUCAUCCCCGUAGCUAGGGUACGCCCUGUGUACUCCGUCGCAAGAGCCAUCCUCCCUGGCAGAGAGCACGAACCUGACACAUAUGACCUACACGGCCUCUACCAUCCAUGACGAUAACCUUGUAUUGUAAUUUAUUUCUUAUCUAUUUUGAUUUAUGUUUUAUGAAGUCUUUGAACAAUCCUAUAGCCAUAUUACCAGAGUAAGAAGAUGAAAAAUAUUAUAUUUGAUUUUCACUAAUGUUGUAAAUUGUGACGUGUUAUAUUUUGUGAGUUUAAAACCUAUUUUCGUAUUUUUUGUCCCUCUAAAUUAACUGGAAUUAAUGUUUAAUACGUCUUUGUAUUGACUGAAGUUUCUAUUCUCGUCAGAUGGCAGGCUAUAUCAAAACUGUAUUACUGAUGUUGAAUACCAGACAAAUUGUGAUGGAAGUAUUUCACUUUUAAAUCAGAUAUCCCACACAGAUCACAUAUUAUAUAUUUAAUAUAGUUUUAAAAUAUUUAUCUAACUUUAUAGCCUUGUAUAAGUGAUUUUGCAAAGGAGAUCAUUAAAUUCCUUUGAAUUUCUGAUCCCAUCACAUAGCUAAUAAUUCAGUACUAACUAUUUGUUUACAUGCAAAUAAUGUAUUGUGGUACUGUAUCAUAAGGCUUUUUACUGCAUUUGUACCAUCACGUUGUGAACAGUAUAAAUAUAUUGCUGGCUUCUUAAACACUGAAAACAAAAGUGAAAUUUGACUCCAUUACUUUUAAGAUAUAAUUAAUUAAUAUACUGUAAAAAUGUAUUAUUUGUAAAUAUACUUUUUAUUUAUAA